RNAcentral lists this ribosomal RNA (230 nucleotides) under uncultured bacterium. RNAcentral's name for it is "partial 16S ribosomal RNA". It matches the Rfam family "Bacterial small subunit ribosomal RNA", at positions 118 to 347 of the family's 1533-position model. The record is from RNAcentral.
UGGGUAAUCUGCCCUUCACUUCGGGAUAACCACCGGAAACGGUGGCUAAUACCGAAUACGACCAGUCCUUGCAUGAGGUGCUGGUGGAAAGUCUUUUCGGUGAAGGAUGUGCUCGCGGCCUAUCAGCUUGUUGGUGGGGUAAUGGCCUACCAAGGCUUCGACGGGUAGCCGGCCUGAGAGGGUGACCGGCCACACUGGGACUGAGACACAGCCCAGACUCCGUACGGGAG